RNAcentral lists this long non-coding RNA (555 nucleotides) under Pan troglodytes (chimpanzee). RNAcentral describes it as "long non-coding RNA NONPTRT018334". The record is from RNAcentral. Lineage: Eukaryota; Metazoa; Chordata; Mammalia; Primates; Hominidae.
UGCGUGCUUGUGGCCAAGGGAAGGAAGAGCUCCUUCCUCCCCGCCCCUUCCUUUUUGUUUGCAGGUCCCAGAAUCUGUGUUCACAGACAUCUGGGGGAAGAAAAGGAGCAGGAAACUACCCCGCACAGAGUUAAGCAGGAAACAACAACAACAUCAUGCAAAAACCCUGCAAAGAAAACGAAGGAAAGCCAAAGUGCAGCGUGCCAAAGAGGGAGGAAAAACGCCCGUAUGGAGAAUUUGAACGCCAGCAAACAGAAGGGAAUUUUAGACAGAGGCUGCUUCAGUCUCUCGAAGAAUUUAAAGAGGACAUAGACUAUAGGCAUUUUAAAGAUGAAGAAAUGACAAGGGAGGGAGAUGAGAUGGAAAGGUGUUUGGAAGAGAUAAGGGGUCUGAGAAAGAAAUUUAGGGCUCUGCAUUCUAACCAUAGGCAUUCUCGGGACCGUCCUUAUCCCAUUUAAUUAAUUUCUCUGACAAUUCAAUUAUUUUCUGUUAUUAAUGUUGCCACUGCUUUCUGUUUGUCUGCACUUUCUUGAUAAAUAUUUGCUAUCGUUUUAC